RNAcentral lists this ribosomal RNA (253 nucleotides) under uncultured bacterium. Its description in RNAcentral is "partial 16S ribosomal RNA". It matches the Rfam family "Bacterial small subunit ribosomal RNA", at positions 524 to 776 of the family's 1533-position model. The record is from RNAcentral.
UACGGGGGGGGCAAGCGUUGUUCGGAAUUACUGGGCGUAAAGGGCUCGUAGGUGGCCAACUAAGUCGGACGUGAAAUCCCUCAGCUUAACUGGGGAACUGCGUCCGAUACUGGAUGGCUCGAGUUUGGGAGAGGGAUGCGGAAUUCCAGGUGUAGCGGUGGAAUGCGCAGAUAUCUGGAGGAACACCGGUGGCGAAGGCGGCAUCCUGGACCAAUUCUGACACUGAGGAGCGAAAGCCAGGGGAGCAAACGGG